GUCUUUUUGAAUUUAAUAUAAAGUCUAACCUGCCCAUUGAAAUAUUUUAAAAGGCUGCGGUAUUUUGACCGUACAAAGGUAGCAUAGUCAUUAGUUUUUUAAUUGGAAACUUGUAUGAAUGGUUGAAUGAAAAAUUAACUUUUUUUUAAAAAAUAUUGAAUUUUACUUUUUAAUUAAAAGGUUAAAAUUAAUUUAAAAGACGAGAAGACCCUAUAGAGUUUUAUAAUUAUUAUUAUUUUAUUUAUAAAGUUUAUUAGAAGUUUAAUAAUAUUCAUUAUUUUGUUGGGGUGAUAAUAAAAUUUGAUUAACUUUUAUUUAUUUUAUACAUUAAUAUAUGAAUAAUUGAUCCAUUAUUAAUGAUUAAAAAAUUAAAUUACCUUAGGGAUAACAGCGUAAUUUUUUUUUAAGUUCUUAUUAAUAAAAAAUUUUGC
RNAcentral lists this ribosomal RNA (431 nucleotides) under Scopesis polita. Its description in RNAcentral is "partial 16S ribosomal RNA". Lineage: Eukaryota; Metazoa; Arthropoda; Insecta; Hymenoptera; Ichneumonidae. The record is from RNAcentral.